GUGGGGAAUAUUGCGCAAUGGGGGAAACCCUGACGCAGCAACGCCGCGUGAAGGAUGAAGGCCUUCGGGUUGUAAACUUCUUUUGGAGGGGACGAAUAAAUUGACGGUACCCUCAGAAAAAGCCACGGCUAACUACGUGCCAGCAGCCGCGGUAAUACGGAGGAUGCGAGCGUUAUCCGGAUUUAUUGGGUUUAAAGGGUGCGUAGGCGGAAUGAUAAGUCAGUGGUGAAAACCUGCAGCUUAACUGUAGACUUGCCGUUGAUACUGUCAGUCUUGAGUGUGGUCAAGGUAGGCGGAAUGUGUAAUGUAGCGGUGAAAUGCUUAGAUAUUACACAGAACACCGAUUGCGAAGGCAGCUUACUGGGCCAUUACUGACGCUGAUGCACGAAAGCGUGGGGAUCGAACAGGAUUAGAUACCCCAGUAGUCC
RNAcentral lists this ribosomal RNA (428 nucleotides) under uncultured bacterium. RNAcentral's name for it is "partial 16S ribosomal RNA". It matches the Rfam family "Bacterial small subunit ribosomal RNA", at positions 354 to 796 of the family's 1533-position model. The record is from RNAcentral.